GCAGGAUCAAUGAUGUUUAUAUCCUUUUUGUUAUCCUUGCACUUUGAUUGCCAGUGAAGAAAAUUAUGGGGAAAGUUAAGUCGGAGAUGUUG
Molecule: non-coding RNA, 92 nt
Organism: Thalictrum thalictroides
Lineage: Eukaryota; Viridiplantae; Streptophyta; Magnoliopsida; Ranunculales; Ranunculaceae
Source: the annotation of a GenBank genome assembly